UACGAAGGGGGCUAGCGUUGUUCGGAUUUACUGGGCGUAAAGCGCACGUAGGCGGAUCGUUAAGUCGGGGGUGAAAUCCUGGAGCUCAACUCCAGAACUGCCUUCGAUACUGGCGAUCUUGAGUCCGGAAGAGGUGAGUGGAACUCCUAGUGUAGAGGUGAAAUUCGUAGAUAUUGGGAAGAACACCGGUGGCGAAGGCGGCGACCUGGUCCGAUACUGACGCUGAGGCGCGAAAGCGUGGGGAGCAAACAGG
This 253-nucleotide ribosomal RNA is filed under the name uncultured bacterium. RNAcentral describes it as "partial 16S ribosomal RNA". It matches the Rfam family "Bacterial small subunit ribosomal RNA", at positions 524 to 776 of the family's 1533-position model. The record is from RNAcentral.